Molecule: ribosomal RNA, 403 nt
Filed under: Verrucomicrobiota bacterium
Lineage: Bacteria; Pseudomonadati; Verrucomicrobiota
Description: Verrucomicrobia bacterium partial 16S ribosomal RNA
Rfam family: Bacterial small subunit ribosomal RNA
Source: RNAcentral
UGGGGAAUAUUGCACAAUGGGCGCAAGCCUGAUGCAGCAACGCCGCGUGAACGAUGAAGGUCUUCGGAUCGUAAAGUUCUGUUGCAGGGGAAGAUAAUGACGGUACCCUGUGAGGAAGCCCCGGCUAACUUCGUGCCAGCAGCCGCGGUAAUACGAAGGGGGCUAGCGUUGUUCGGAUUUACUGGGCGUAAAGGGUGCGUAGGUGGUCCUUCAAGUCGGUGGUUAAAGGCUACGGCUCAACCGUAGUAAGCCGCCGAAACUGGAGGACUUGAGUGCAGGAGAGGAAAGUGGAAUUCCCAGUGUAGCGGUGAAAUGCGUAGAUACUGGGAGGAACACCAGUAGCGAAGGCGGCUUUCUGGACUGCAACUGACACUGAGGCACGAAAGCGUGGGUAGCAAACAGG